GCCCAGCCGAGGUUACUCGAAGCAAAACCCUGCCAAAAGUCUUCCUUGCUGCUAAUAUUUCCCCGACCUUGUCAUUAUCUGAAUUUCCCCUUCCUCUACUCCUUGAUAUAUCCCUCUAAUUUUGUCUCCCCGCUCAGCACUGGAGCAGUGAGGAAACACCACUAAGUUAUCACCAUAUUAUUCAUCUGAGGAAUCUGGCCAAGAAUUCUUUGGCCUAGCAGAACAGUCACAGCCAUCUGUCUGUCUGUUGUGCUAGAGAAGAAACAAGCACGCAAAAAGUAACCAAGAAAUGCUAUAUAUAUUUACUAUAUAGAAAGAAACCCAAGAGCCAUGAAAGUCAGAAACUAGCCACUGGAACUGGCAGUCGCAGGGAAUAUUAAGAUAGAGUUUCAGUCACUUCACUGAGACAUUUCAGAUGAGCCUGGUGAGCUAAAAGCCCUCCCUUUAUUGCCUUCAAAAGGGAAUUAAAAUAGCUAAGAGGUUGGUAUAGGGAAGUCAGUAAAAGUUAAAGAGCUCAUCAGACUGUCCCCUCACUUCCCAUCUGCCUAAUAGGAGCAUCAAUCUGCUCAAGGCACAGUGUCCCCGCAAGGGCGCCCUAGGACAGGUCCAGCUGGCAAAUGAGGUUAAUUGAUGCUUUCUCAUUGAGGUGGUUAGGACUCAGGUGUUGCGUGGGUUCCUCCUUCCCUCUUCUCAAGCAAUGCGAAGUCUUCUGGCAGCAGCUUGGUUCUUGCUGGCCGCAAGCAGUUUAUACCAAAUGCCAAAUGCUUGCAGUCAGGAAUUAAUGCUAGAGAUGGAGAGUGUUCCUUGCAAUGCAGUGCAGUGCCCCAGGAGGGCAAUGGGGGCUGUAGGCAGCCCAGAGGAGAGCAGGGAGGGAGGGCUAUCAACUGAAAGCAAUAAAAUAGUCCCUACUGCUCCCACCUGGAGUCGGUCCCAAGCACAUUGAAAAGCUCUUCUCUCCCUUCCUUGGUGUUUUCGAGCCAAAAGACGAGAAACUGAAAACUCUAAGAGGUGAAGACCCAUUCCAGCUUUUACUUGGCGUGAGUGCCUGAAGAGAUAAGAGACCUAAGCUCUCCUCUCUUAAUAGAUAAAGGGCGUUGUUACUGUUGAGCUCUCUCCAAGUUCAUGGAUUUCAUCUAUGUGACAAAGGGUAUCACAUGUGCUGGAUAUCAUUUAAUGUUUCCCUAGCCCAGACUGCCCCAGGAGUGCUGCUGAGGAAUGACUUUACACUGAAAACAGUCUCCUCUUUCUUCACAGGAAGACUCUGUUGUGGAGAGCACUGGAUGGUUUUCUCAACAGGCCAACUCAUGCUUCAUGAAAACAUUCACAGAUGCUUGCAGUGUUGAGGUUUAUGUCAGUUAUGGCCAUCAAAAGUCAUUUCUUCAUGAGAAAGAGGAACAGAUGGAAAAAGAGAGACCAGGAUGUGCUAGAGAUGACUCUCCAAUGCCUGUGGUACAUCAGGGGAAGGGCACUGCACAGCCAGCAGAGCUAUCCUUCCCCAAGGCAUAGCUGACAUAUCCCCUUGCCUGGGAGACCUGGCAAGUGAAUCUGACAUCAUUUCAUAGCUACCUGCAUGCCUUUCCUUUUUAAUUCACAGGCAUGGGAGUUCAUGUGGAAACUCCAAAGCUGUACUGGAACAAUGUGGGAACAUACAUAUAUAAGCCACAAUUCAGAAUCUAGUUCCACAUCUGCCCAUCUCAGGCUCUCUGCUGGAAAAGAAGCAUUUGGGGCAGAAGCUAUGUGAGAAUAAUGAAAGGAACAGACUUAUACUUUGACUCACUGAAAAAAUUGAGUUUCCUUAACAAACAGUGGAAUAGCAAUAAACUUCCCAGUAGGUAAAAGCAAACCCAUGCUGGUUACUGCUGUAUAUUCACAGCUGGCCUCACCUACCCUAUCUUGCCUGUGGGCAUGAGAUCAGUUCGUUCCACGAGUCACCCAGCUCUUGGUGCCAAAAAACUAAAGUUCCUGCCCAUCACAUCCAAGGCAGACAUUUCAAAGUUAAACACCUAGUCUGUUUUCAAUUUUUCCUUCAAAUACCAGAAGAGAUUGCACCACAUUAUGGGCUAAUCGCCUGUCAAAUUUAAUUUCUUAAGCUGAGGCUGCUUUAGAGCCAAGUGAAUGAAAAGGAAAAAAUAUCCUGUCCAAAUCCACUAAAUUAUUAUUUUUUAUGCCUGCGUAGUUACCUAGAAAUAGGAGCUCUUUCUUAACCUUCUUGUUUAACUUUAUGGCAAAUAUGUUACUGACAGAGUAGGGCAUUACAUGCAAAAUUUGAUCUUCCAAUAGGUCUUCAUGUCUAAAUUGUGAUGAACUAAAUUUCAUGAAAGUAGUUCUAGGUCCAGCUAGGAGCAAAGUCCUCCUCUGUAAUUAUUGCUGAAGAUCAAACACAGACCUUCGACUUUGCUCUGUUGGAGCAAGACUUCUCACUUUACAUAUAUCACUGUCCACCUAAGGAUCGCACAGUGACAUAAAGGUUUAAUGCUGUUCAGUCCUAGGAAGGGGUCCUGCUGAUUUAUCUGCUUGGUGUCCGCCACAGCAUGAUAAAUGCUAUUAACAGAGAGAACCGGGGCCUGAGGUGGAUUUUGUUGCAAACCUAAAACUAGGGUCAAACCCAAGUUCUCAUUCCUUAAAAUUUUGGUGGGUAGGUUUCAAAUUUUGACAGGAGGAUGAUGGAAGGACAUGUAGGUAUAAAUCCACACAUAACUGGAAAAAAUCUAAGAGUCUCUGUGUACCAGUCUUGGCUGGGAAUGUCUUGUAGCUCAGUUGUUAAAAUACCUAAAAAAUGGGUCUGGGCAUGGCUUAGCCUCUUGGUCCUGAGACCGUAAGAGCAAGCAGGACAAGAAAUGGAGAAAAUGGGAAAUUGAGACCAGAGCCCUUGGGAAGCUGGAAUGAGAAGGGAAACCUAAGGCUUCCUAAGGAAACUUUAAUUGAAACAGAAGUAAAAUCAGAGGCUUCCAGUAAAGACAGUAACUAUACAGCUAUCAAUAACUAUGAUAGCUUUGGGGCAGGGGUUAUGUCAAGUGAAUCUCAAAUUUCCAAUUUUCCAAUCCAGGUAGGUAUCGAUGGCAUUACUUUUUUUUUCUUUUUAACUUGUGGAAGAAAACACAAUACAAAAGCUAGAAAAAUUACUUGGAAGGAAACAUCUCUAUCAAAAAGGGAUUUAUUUUGGAGAAGUGCCAAAAAAAAAAAAUUAAAAAAUAAAAAAUUAAAAACAAAAAUUAAGAUUGCCUGCAAACCAGCUGAAAACCUUUGAUGUAACUGUAAUUAUUCUUGAUAUACCAUCAGAGAGACCAAGUCCAGCUCUGAUUUGCUGGUGUUUUUCAUCUGAGGAUCCCAACGUGCUUUAUAGCCUCCCACUGCCUUCUUUCUUGUAGGAAAGUAGAAGAGAAAUUUGUGACGGCUGAGUGCCUCAAGUCAUAUAGCCAACCAGUGACUGACAGAGCUACCAAGUGUCCUACCUCCCAGAUGCAGUCUAAGUUAUCAAUUUUCUCAUGUGAAUGUAGCCUAUAGCGAAUGAGAACUAUGAAAAAAAUUGAUUCCCAGCUCCCAUCGCCUUCCAGAAGUGUCCUCCCCAUUUUGUCAGUGGUCAUCUGCCCCGAAGUCUCUCUCAUUUCCACUUUGCAUAUCUUGGAUGGCUCAGUCCUCUCUGCUCACUGCUGAUUUAACUGCCUUCCAUUGCACUGAGCAUUGUAGCAACACUUUGCGUAGCCAGAGGUGGAAGUAUUUAAUGGGGAAUGAGGUGGGUGUUUCUGAAAUGAUAAGAAUAAUUGUAAAAUCUGCAGUUAUUUUUUGAAACUAUCAUUGGUAAACAGGCUAUCAGCCAAGAGCACGAGACCUAAAUAAGCCAUGCAGACGUGGCCUGAAAGAAAGGCUUGAGGGAAUUUUACCACAUUCUUCAAACAUUUUAAGAGAUAAUGGGCUGCACCUGAACACAGUGGUUUCACACAUGUUAACCUAUGCACAGUGAGAUAAAGUUUUACUCUCCUGCUGCUAUAGUAGAGCAAUACCGCCGAAGUCUCCACCAUACCCACACUCCUCCUGCACCCACUCUGCUUUCAUGUGCAGCUCACCCACGCAAGGAAGGAAAAGCACCAAACAUUCCCUUCUUGUCACCUGGAGGGAGGCUGCCGAAAUGGUUGGACCUCGUUCAGCAGCUGUCCCUGAUAGAUUCAUUCUGCUGGUGUACAUUCAUAUCCAUCCAUUCAGAUCUACCUCCUUUGUUGGAGCAGGUCUUACAGUGUAGUUUUCAGGCGAAGGAAUUGGUUACGCUGCUUAAGGCUUUGAGCAGCUCAGCACAGCAGGAUUUUGGAGGGCAGCUUUGCAGCAGGAAGGGCAGUGGUGUCAGGUGAAACACAAAGUGUGCUCACCAAACAAGCCCGGAAAUAUGACUGUCCUCCUCCCCUGUUCUCCCCCCUUUCCUAUUUCAACACACAGAAAUGCCAGUUUUAACAGAGCCGACUUAGAAAGGCAGCAAGCAUAGCAAGCAUGAAGGUCUGAGUAUUAAUCUGGAAAUAAGAUGAAUAAAUAGCCUUGGGAGAAUGCUUGCCUGCUAUCUCUCCAGCCACAGCUCCUUGCCUCUCUGGGGAAUUGCUGCUCCACGUACAAAUCAGUUACUCCACUGAAAUUAUUUCCCUUCUCCAUGGGCCCAAUCUCCAGGGCCCACGCUACCUCCUGAAUCCACAUCCCAAGCCAAGACCUGAAGAAGGAACCUGGGUCCCAGGCAGCACAGGGCCACCCUUCCCUUCAGUAGGUCUCCAGAGUGUACAGCCAAGGACUCAGUAGAGGAUCUCAGUGUUCCCACCCCAGUGUGGACACAGCCAGUGCCCGUUUUCUCUUUAGUCUCUGUUUUCCUUUUGACUCCUCCGAGAGGUCCAUCGAGUGGCUGAGUGUCAGGCUGGGAGACAGAAAAUAGGAGAACAACCUUCAUGCCAGUGCCUUAAAAUAAAGGUUUGAGCUUCUGAGAAUUAGGGUAAUGGAAAUACCUGCAAUCAGACAGCUUCAGAGAGGAACAGUUCGAGAGAAAUCAAGGCUCAGAGGAUGGACUGGUGUCAACAGUCCUGUCAUCAACAAGAGAAUCCUUCUGAAACCGCUCAUUCACCUCUGCAGGAAAACUGGUCCUCCAAAGCAAGGAGCAGCAGCUAAAAUCAAUGCACAGCCCAAGCUGAGCGGAGAGGUUUUAAUCAAUCUGAGAAGCCAUUUAUUGUGAAGAUCCAACAAAGCGACAGAUAUUAUCACUAUUACACAUGAAACUGGAACAUGGAAAACAAAAAAGGAGCAGUGAGCUCUUGCUUUGAGGGGGCUGGAAAGUGUACCUGUUGUUUCUCUCUGAGACUUAAUAGCAGCAUAGCAAGAGACGAUAAAUCAAGGAGGGGAGAUUGGGGAUGAUUCAGUCCCAACUACUCAUCAAUGCCGAGUUUAGAACAGGAAUGAAUUUGCUUCCCUAAGCUUAGGAAGGAGAAGACAGCGCAGUCCUUAAGGUGAGUGAUGUUUUCCAUUGAGAGACCUGGGUGAAAUAUGGAGGAGCUGUGAGCAGGUUGGCUCCUGGCUGAAAGGACAGUGUAUGGGGGCAGAUAUCUGGGGCAUGGACGAAGAGUAAAUAAAUAUCUUAUGUAUCCAUCUGAGCCGCAAGAGAGAAUUGGCCAUUUUUCUUUCCCUCAGUGGGGUUUUGAGAAACUGGAGCUUCAAAUGCACUUCUUCCAGAGAGAGACACCCGCUGAGUUUCUGUCCCAUUCUGUGGGGGAUUUGCCUGGCCCAGUUCUACACUGGCCUCACAACAGCAAAACAACUUCUGAUUACUUUGACCCAACCAACCUAGAAUUUCAGCAAUCAGCAUCCCUUGCACCAAGUGCCAGAAACAAGUUAAGACUCCCUCAUUGUCAGCGUUCCAUUUUAUUACUGCAGUACCUGCAGCUUGGAGAAAAAAAGAAAGGCUGCAUUGUUCUGUGGAGCCCUCAUAUUCACUUCAGCUUGCUGCAUCAGAACGGGCAGCUGCAUGUAGAGGACAGCAAUAUAUGGAAGACUGACCCUAACCCUAACCCUAACCCUAACCUUGUUGGUAGACAUGUGGGCAGGAAGGAGAAGUGCUCUAGAAGCUCACCUGGACAUGCCUGGGGCAGAUCCAUCUCUUGUCUUUUUGGUUUGCUUUGGUGCCGAGCAGGACCUAAGUGCUCUUUAUACGUGGAAAGUCAUGGCUGGAUCUCCUUUCAUUAAACACUGACAAUGCAGUGCAACAGGAGCUGCUACCUUGCUGCCUUCCUGCCUUGUCCUGACUCCUUUCAGCACAUAUGUAUUUUCUGUCCUCAUUUUCACUCCAAAUCUUUCUCCAAAACCGUGGCUGUGAGAAGCGAACAGACUGAACAAGCACAUGAGAACUGCAGAAAACCCAAACACAACAAAACAGUCAUUAAUCUCUCUUUAAGGUAUCUUUUCCCCCGUGCCCUCCCCAAAACAGGAGCAAGGAGGAGGGAAGAUCCCAGAAGAACAGCCUAACUAUAAAAAUAUAAGUGCGGUUGCUAAAAGCCCAAUCUAUUUUCAAAUGAUGUGCUCUAAUGGAAUGUUGCUGUACAUCUUUUGAUGAGACAGGAGUCUAUUUAAAAAGACAGGCGCUUUCGUAUGUGCUUUUAAACCCCGUCUGUCAAUUAGAACAACAUCAAGGGUUCAGUGGCUGGGAAAAAAGAUGACAGUAAUGAAAAGCUGGGAGGGCAGCAGAAGAAAAGAAAGAUAAAGACAAAAAAAAAAUAGAAAAAAGAAGACAGGAUGAAAAGAAAGAAAUCUGUAUUAAAGAAAAAAAAAAGUAAUGAAAGCAGAGCAGAAUGAAGAUUCACAAAGAUUAGGGCAGAAUAAAGAUCUAUGGAACAAGAUUGCACUCAUUUGUUCCCCCCAAAUUCUAUAUUCAUUCAUAACCAAGAAGGAGGCUGAACACAGGGAGAGCAGCAAACACAAUGCCUCUCAAAAUCUGAUUCGCUGCAUUACUCAGCAUCUCGAGAGCAGGGGGAGAAAAUGGUGCUCAGCCCCUCCCUGGAUGGACCCUGUGCUGGAGGCUCUCCCUGCAGCCCCACUAAAGAUGCAUACAAAUGCAGGGGGGUAAUUUAAUCUCUGAGAGGCACUUGGACACUAAGGGGAGGAGCACUGAAGGGAAGAAGCCCAUGAGGAAAUUUAUAACUGGUAUUAAGCAUAGCAGUGUGAGAGCAGUAAGGAAGGCACUGGGCCACAAACUGAGCACAAGAGGAAACAAAACAUGGGAAUGGUGCUCCUUGGAGAAGAGGUCAGGCAAUGCAGUGCUGUGGGUGGGCACAGUGUUGGAGGUGGGUGCAGCGCACAGUCACCUCUGGGCAUGAGGAGCAGCUCCUGCCAUGCUAAUGGUGCUUCUAAAAUAGUUGUGAACAUAGCAGUUCCAUCAUUAAAAAUAAAAAUAAAAAAUACUAAAC
This is a long non-coding RNA of Gallus gallus (chicken), 7421 nucleotides long. The record is from Ensembl. Lineage: Eukaryota; Metazoa; Chordata; Aves; Galliformes; Phasianidae.